UGUUACGUGAAAAAUCACGUAGAUUCAUCCAAAUUCAUUUUGCCUUGACUUUACCUGACUAAGGUAAUGAUCACCUGACCAAAUAUAAUCACAAAAUUGAGACCCGGUAGUUUCCACUGUGGUGAGCUAAUCACUCUUACGUAAAAAUCACGUAGACACUUAUUCAUUCUGACAUGAGCUCUGACAUCUAGACUUUGUGUUCAUUCUGUAUUGUGCUCGUUUAUGAAGAUGGUGCUCAGUUAGUUUGCCGAAUAAUUUCAAUCGCUCGAUUCCAAGGUAUACAUUUUGGCAAUAUUUUGCGAAACGGUAAGCAGGAAGACCUUUUCGUAAACUUCAAGAACGUAACAGUUUUGGAAUAAUCUGGCAGCGGAUGAAUUGUUUUGUCAAAAGCAAAUCGUGCGUUUGAAUGUUCGAUUGCUACUGGACUAUAUCGUCGAUCCUUGUACUGCGACUUGCAAGAUCAAAGCACAUACGGCAGCAGGAAAUCAUGCAAUGUUUCCAUUCAGCUACCACCUACAAUGCUAUAUUGACUAAAGUGAUAGUAUCAUCCAUGCUUUUAACUCUAAUUUAUUUCACUUCUCUGAAAAUUGAAAAAAAGCUUCCAAAUGCCGAUGCAGAACCAGAUGGCUUCUAUUAAAAUAUGUUAAUAAUGUGUAUUUGAACAUCGUGUAGAAUCAAUUGGAAGACUGCGUAUAAACUACGAAAAAUUUCACGUAGCUGCUACGUGAAACUCCGGUGAAACGGAUGAAGUUCAUUAGUUCAUGCGUUCAUUCUGUGUUACCUAUGAUCCACGUAAGUGCUACGUGAAAAGUGCGAUGGAAAAAAGCCACGUAUGUUUUCACGUAGCAAUGACGUGUGGAUU
Aedes aegypti (yellow fever mosquito) is the source of this 862-nucleotide long non-coding RNA. RefSeq lists it as uncharacterized. The transcript is spliced from 3 exons. The record is from RefSeq and is a predicted model, not a curated record. NCBI's taxonomy places the organism in Eukaryota, Metazoa, Arthropoda, Insecta, Diptera, Culicidae.